RNAcentral lists this ribosomal RNA (253 nucleotides) under uncultured bacterium. RNAcentral's name for it is "partial 16S ribosomal RNA". It matches the Rfam family "Bacterial small subunit ribosomal RNA", at positions 524 to 776 of the family's 1533-position model. The record is from RNAcentral.
UACGGAGGGUGCAAGCGUUGUCCGGAUUUAUUGGGUUUAAAGGGUGCGUAGGCGGCCCUGUAAGUCAGUGGUGAAAUACUGCAGCUUAACUGUAGCAUUGCCAUUGAUACUGUAGGGCUUGAGUACAGAUGAGGUAGGCGGAAUUGAUGGUGUAGCGGUGAAAUGCAUAGAUACUAUCAAGAACACCGAUUGCGAAGGCAGCUUACUAAGCUGUAACUGACGCUGAGGCACGAAAGCGUGGGGAUCGAACAGG